CUCCAGUGGCCACUCCUCAAAUGGCUACUAGUGGUGCUUCUUGAGGGCAGUGCUGCACAGUGUGCAGCAUUGACCUUUAGUCUCUCCAACCUCUGCAUGGGGACACACUCUUUUGACGAAAAAGCAGAGUAGUAAACACCACUGGAGUCUCUCUGGGAGAGUCACGCUGCCCCCCGGGCCCAGCUCAAAUGAGCUGCUGCUUGUGGUAUGCCGUCAUGCCUGUUGGGUCUCCCUAGCUUGUGGUUUUCCUGCCUCCGGCCUGGUUUUGGCAUGAGUUGGGUCCCGAUUAGAGCUUGAGUCUAGUAAGUGCCACUCUGCCAGUCCCGGGUUCUGUAUGAGCCGACCACUUGUGCCCUCGGUUCCGGUACCAUGUAUGGCCGGCAACGGGAUUCCUGGCAAGUGUGUUCCAUCCAGGUGUAGGGCUGCGGUUUGAGGAUUGUCCUCUAGGGGCUCAAGGCCCAGAAAGGCUGUCGUGGAGACCAGGCCCAAGCUCUGGGUUCGGAGGCUGGACAAUGCAGGGCUACUCCGUCGAGUGUUGGAAGAGCUCCAGCAAUAGUUCCAGGGGUCAUGGUGAGGUGCCUCUAAUUACAAUGCUUCCUGCGAGCAGUGUGGGUGGUCUCACCCGAUGUUGGCAGAGCACAUAUGCCCGGUUCCCUCCGUGAGGGUGGGGGAGGGGACUGGGGCCUACGAGGUGUGUCACAGUGUUGUACUGUGGCAGCUAGGCUUGCGAGCAGGGCAGUGGCCCUCUGCCCCGCUCCCGAGUAGGCCGCAGGCACCAAAGUUUUGUACCACAAAGGCCCCAAAACACCCGAUCUCCCCUGAUGUAGUCUAUGGUGGUGCCAACCGUCUCCUGUUAUCUUUAGGGGACUACUCUGUUAGAUUAGCAGCAGUAAGUCCAUGAUUUCUGCCUUUUUAGGUAAAAUUUAGCAGGAGCCUCAGUGACAUGCGACCAGCAUGGUGGUCAGGCCCUGCCCCCAAUAAAAUAAUUUUAAAAUAGUUCAACGCGUUUCCUCCACAAAUGUGGACUUCCUCAGGGACAAUUUAAAAAAUAAAUAAAAUACAAACAACAUCCUAGGUGCAAAGCAGUUUACUAAACCACCCUCCCUAUUCUCCUUAAAUAGGACAAGUUCCUGGUGCUUCAGAGGGUGUGGAUCCAUCUUUUUUACCUCAUUGGAUGAUGAUCCUCUGUUUCAGAUGCUUACCACAUCCUCUGCGUUCUGCAUAGCUGCCCACAAUAUCCAGAAACUGUAUAUUUCUAGUGCUUGCCGAUUGCGUUCCAGCCCCAUUUUGGAUGCGUUCCAUGACACCUCCCAUAAUAAUUACCCACACCUCCCACGGAAAUUGAAAGCACAUGAGUAACCCUGGUAACCAAAGUAAACAGGAGCCGGAAAAAAUGGAGAUGGUGUACUGUUGCUAUAGCAACAGACAACAUCAUUCGAUACGACCUAUGGCAAUCAUGUCAAACUCAUCUUUGUGGCCCAGCGAGCCGCGAGUACAUGCUGGUGUUAUAGCAGAGUAGGCACCUGCUUUCCCCACAUUGCAGGUGCCUACUCUGCUAACACUUACCCGGCCGGGGAGGAGGGCCAGCGAGGGAGCUCAGUGUUCUUGCUCCCUCGGGCGCGCCGUCUGUAGUUAAGCCGGACGCCGGAAUAUGGCAUCAUAUUCCGGGAUCACUAAACCGCACGAGGGAGCAGGGAGGAGAUCCCCACACCAGCUCCCAAAGGUAGGGAACAAUAAAUUAAAUAAUGUGAGUGCAAGAAUGUUUAACCCCUUAAGGACACGUGACAUGUCAUGAUUCCCUUUUAUUCCAGAAGUUUGGUCCUUAAGGGGUUAAAUGUGUCUGUCAGUGUGGGUGUGUGUGUCUGUCAGUGAGUAUGUGUGUCUGUCUGUGAGUGUGUGUGCUGGUCAGUGUUACAUUGGCUGCGACUGGACAGUGGAGUACCUGGAGGUGCAUGGAGGCACGCAACGCCACGUGACAUCGACGUGCUCCACCUUCACAGGGUUUCAAGAAGUAGCAGGAGGAUCAGAUUUGGCACAGGGUGGUAG
Molecule: non-coding RNA, 2046 nt
Organism: Pelobates cultripes (western spadefoot toad)
Lineage: Eukaryota; Metazoa; Chordata; Amphibia; Anura; Pelobatidae
Source: the annotation of a GenBank genome assembly